Molecule: long non-coding RNA, 176 nt
Organism: Ailuropoda melanoleuca (giant panda)
Lineage: Eukaryota; Metazoa; Chordata; Mammalia; Carnivora; Ursidae
Exons: 3
Source: RefSeq, a predicted model, not a curated record
AAGAAAGAUGGUUUUUUCUGGAACUUGGCCUUGUACGUGUAUAUAGGUCUUAGCCCACUGCGUGGUGACUUCUCAGACCCAGCCACUGAUAGGAGCUGCUCAUUUCAUCUAAAGCAACCUGUUGUUUUCUGUGCUCUGAAGGUGGUGACCUCAGCGUCCACGACAGGACGCCCGUG